This is a long non-coding RNA of Suricata suricatta (meerkat), 540 nucleotides long. RefSeq lists it as uncharacterized. Lineage: Eukaryota; Metazoa; Chordata; Mammalia; Carnivora; Herpestidae. The transcript has 3 exons. The record is from RefSeq and is a predicted model, not a curated record.
GGAAGUGGCCAUCCACAAGCCAAAGAGGGAGGCCUAAGAAACCAAACCUGCUGACAUCCAUCUUCAACUUCCAGAAUGAUGGAUCCAGUCAUACACAGAAAUGACAGAAAAGAAAACAAGGGAAGAAACUGUAUAGUCUUUCUCUGAUCCCUCUACCUGAGACCACUUUCUCCAGGAACAAUUACUUGAGACAAUGAGGGUCCUAAAUAUGAAGAUGAGGAAAAAUGAAAUAUUUUCCCAAGACUUCAGGUCCAUUGGAAAAAAACAGUCUCAAAGAACUGAACCGUGAAGCAGAGAAGAAAAUGCUAUAAUAAAGGGAGAGAGUGGACAGGGAGCAGAAGGAAGGAAAUGGUUAAUUUUGAAGAAAGAAGUCGAGGAUGCUUCAUAGAUGAGCUGGCAUGUGAGUCGGGCUUGCAACACUGAGCACCCGGCCACAGCCACCCUCAUCCAUGGGAAACCACCUUAUAGGUUUGGGAGUAGGAAGUGCUCAGAUCAGUUUUGACUUGUUUUUGUUUUUCACGGUUUUGAAAAGUUGUAAUA